RNAcentral lists this unclassified non-coding RNA (209 nucleotides) under Hevea brasiliensis (rubber tree). Lineage: Eukaryota; Viridiplantae; Streptophyta; Magnoliopsida; Malpighiales; Euphorbiaceae. The record is from RNAcentral.
GUAAAAUCAACAACAACUCCUGUUUCCUUUGACUGCAAAUUAGCAAUAAAAUAACAAUCUUUUGAGACUUAAAGCAGACAAAGUGGCAGAUGAAGUUAUUAUCAUUAAGUAUUAGUACCUGAGAUAUUGAACCUAAAACCAUGGUGAGAUCAUUUAAUAUGGGUAAUUCCAGUGGUUCUUCCAUGUCACACACCUAAUUUCAUUUGUAC